This 448-nucleotide ribosomal RNA is filed under the name uncultured bacterium. RNAcentral describes it as "bacterial SSU rRNA". It matches the Rfam family "Bacterial small subunit ribosomal RNA", at positions 330 to 794 of the family's 1533-position model. The record is from RNAcentral.
GCCAGACUCCUACGGGAGGCAGCAGUGGGGGAUAUUGCACAAUGGGGGAAACCCUGAUGCAGCGACGCCGCGUGAGUGAAGAAGUAUUUCGGUACGUAAAGCUCUAUCAGCAGGGAAGAAAAAUGACGGUACCUGACUAAGAAGCCCCGGCUAACUACGUGCCAGCAGCCGCGGUAAUACGUAGGGGGCAAGCGUUAUCCGGAAUUACUGGGUGUAAAGGGAGCGUAGACGGCUGUGCAAGUCUGGAGUGAAAGGCGGGGGCCCAACCCCCGGACUGCUCUGGAAACUGUAUGGCUGGAGUGCAGGAGAGGUAAGCGGAAUUCCUAGUGUAGCGGUGAAAUGCGUAGAUAUUAGGAGGAACACCAGUGGCGAAGGCGGCUUACUGGACUGUAACUGACGUUGAGGCUCGAAAGCGUGGGGAGCAAACAGGAUUAGAUACCCGGGUACC